RNAcentral lists this long non-coding RNA (430 nucleotides) under Brachypodium distachyon (stiff brome). RNAcentral describes it as "long non-coding RNA (BDIS_LNC002307)". The record is from RNAcentral. Lineage: Eukaryota; Viridiplantae; Streptophyta; Magnoliopsida; Poales; Poaceae.
UAGUAACACUGGUUUCCUGGGGUAAACUCGGUCCCUGUGUAGCCGGAGCGUAGGAAGGACGCUUGCAGGGUGAGGACGCCCCCCACACGUGGCUCGCGGGUUCGUCCUGGAGGCGUGCGCGCUGGGGUAGUUAACCCGCAGGCGGAGUGACUAGCCGCUAUUGUUUGGUCCUAGUCCAGCCAAUCAUGUGGUUGGUGAGUCCCCGGGUAUGCAAGGCUAAAACACGUGAAGGACAGAGCCCCUCCCCGGCAAGCUAGUCUUAAGCAAAGGAGUAAGUAAAAAUAGCAUCUGGUAUAUAUUAAAGCUUGGGCAAAACAAGUUGACGAGUAACACUGAUAAUGACAAGGGAAAGCCAACAUAAAAAGUUCUAAGCGCCACGCGCCACUUGCAGGAAAAUUUUAAAAAAAAAGAACGAAGGGAACUACGCGGG